AUUUUGAUCUUGAAGAAAGUGUUUUAUACCUACACACUACAAAGGUCAAGCCAGAGAACAGAAUAAAUAAAAUAAAGCAGGCCCAAGACGACGCUAAAUGGAGUGCCCGGCGUUUUGAUUUCCACCCAUUGCCUUGGUUUUUUGGCAUGAAGUGCGAAGUAACUUGGAUGCACUCAUGCGCAGGGAGGGCCCCGAGAAUGAAAAUGGGGAAUAGGAAUGGGAAUGGUGCAACCUUGGAAGAACCCAGCGCUCUAUGAUCAUGAUCACGGCCUCUGUCCAUCAUUUUACUGCGGCUUACCGGCGCCAGGACGCCCUGAUAGGUCUCCUACGCUUGCCGCGCAUGACCCGUUGGGCGCGCAGAGGAGGAGG
Molecule: long non-coding RNA, 369 nt
Organism: Ostrinia nubilalis (European corn borer)
Lineage: Eukaryota; Metazoa; Arthropoda; Insecta; Lepidoptera; Crambidae
Exons: 3
Source: RefSeq, a predicted model, not a curated record